UUUCAUUCCCCUUACCCCUAUUUAAGACGGACUCCUAGAAAUACAUUGAUCAGUUCUAGUUCAACUUCAUUUUAACUUUGCAACCAGACGUCAACGGAAGCCCUGCUUCAUCUCAAAGUGUUGCACUUUUAUUUUGUACAUAGUGAUGAUGGUGUUAACCUGCAAUUGAGGUUCCACUUCGAAACCACAGUACUGUUGCAAUUAUCCAAUCAUCAUCAAUAUACCAAUUUUAUCUGUUAGCCGUCACAACCAUGCUUGCGGGAAAGAGAUAAAAGGGAAGGCUCGCAAACAGACAGUUGCAUCCUGGAUUUCUAUACCAAUGGAUGUUUUUAAUCUAUCAUUCUGCUGGAAGUUUUCUCGAGAGCACAAACGAGCCGAUUGAUGCAAGAGCUCUUCGGCGAUCGAGGAUAGAUCGCAUUCUUUUUUAGAUUUUCGUCUAUGAUUUCAUGUUAGAGUUGACAUUUUGUUAUCACUUCUUAGAGUGACCAAUAGACCUUUGAAUAUUUUGUCAUCUAUACCCAGGCAUAUAUUAUCUCUCCACACUUUUAGUGACGCAAUUUCGUUCAAGAUAUCCUCAACAAAGCGUAAACGUAUACGUGUUGGGUAUCGCAAACAGAGAGGAAAUUUCACUUCACAAGCGUACUAUUUUGAUGUCGAAGGCUUUCUCAGGAGGAGGAGGAUAAGAAAGAAAAGGAACACUGAGCCAACUGCUUCCUGUCUCCUCUGCUGGAUUUAAGCUGGAAGCUGAGGCAGAGCAAUCCCUUUCAGCUGCUCCACGACAGAAACUCUUAACCAAUCCACUCACCCGGAGAAAACAGGCAUUUUCUGCUUAAACGAAGAAAUCGCGCUAAAAUAGAAAAGAAGAUCCGCGCGCCUGAUCGAGCAGCAAGGGGCCGGGAAUAUAUAUUUUUUUUAUUUUUUGAUCUCUUCUUGGAUUCGAGAUAUAAAUAUCAUUCUUUGAUAUAGACUCAGUAUGGCUAAUGUGACGAUACUUGGUGGUUUAUUCGUCCUGCUCUUAUCAUUGGCAUGUGUACAAUCACAAUCUGGCUGUCCCCCAUGGCCCAUUGGGUGCCCCGGAAAGGUCAACCCUCAGAGGUGGGGUAAGAGAUCAUCAUCAUCAUUGACAUCUACCAAGUCAACAACAGAUUCACUACUCGUACAACAUAUCAGGAACGCAGCUAGACUACUCUUACAUAAAAACACAGAACGUUCGACGCCAUUUCCAAGUGAAGAGGAUGAAGUCAGGAGAAAGCUUUCGGAAAUCCUAGAUAAAUUGAAAUGGAAUUUAAAUCUUUGAAACUGGGCUACCUUUUCCCGAGGACUAAGUUUAUUUCUACUAGACCACCGUAAUUCAUCUCGCAGAAAGAAAACACACCACACAGUCCCGUCCAUGCCGACAUAACCAACACAGUGAACAUCUAUGGCAUCACACCUAUGAAGUGAAUGAAGGAAACACGCAUUUUCGUCACACUUCUCUAUAGAUCUGCCAAGCAUUGCAACAUGUCCUCUGAGUCGACCCAGUAACUUUCUCCUCUAAAUUGGAAAUCCUAAUCAUCCUAUAACGAGUCACAAUUAUUUAUCUAAACUACACAGUCGCAGUUUCUUCGUAAACAUUGCGAGUCACAUCAGACGCCAUUUCGUUGACAUCUUCUUUUUUAAUCGAUUCGACCAAAUCCGUCAUAUUGCCUGUUUCAGGCAAUAGGGUAAACCAAGUCAGGGAGACCGAGUCGUGUUACGCGUAGAUGUCAGAUUAUGAUCAGCGAUAUAAUGGCCUGUCGAACAACCAAUCUGACAGCUACAGCUCACUGAUGAGACAAAAUCGGUGGAUAGCAUCCCACUCAUACAAUUGGCGAUCAUCAAGUCAUCCUUCAUUUCGGUUUGGGUUUGGUUUCAUCAUCCGGUUCAUGGUUACAUUUAGUUGAUGUAGUAUACAACACCUAAAUUUCAACUGAAUUGUCACGUUAGAAAUUGAUCUAUUUAUUUACAUAUCAGUUAUUAAAUGAUUACUGUGGGGUAUGCGGAUAAUGUUAGAUACCACGAAGGCUUUUUAAAAUCUACUUUCCUUAUGCAUUUGAACUAGUUAAUCACAAAAUGAUCAAUCUUCACCUUUUUAUCAUGCUUCUUCUCAUGAAAAUUUAACUUUUACCCUUUUUAUGAAACACAAGAUUGGUCCUUACUAAAAUCAUCGAUAUGUUUUAUCUAAAUGUGAACAAAACAAAUAUAAAAGUAAUCCUUAUUUAGUAAUCCAGAGAAUUGUUAGAAGCCAAAUAAUGAAUUCAAGACUCUUGUAUACACAUUUGCUUAAAUGUAGAGUUAAGAGGAAGAAUAUUGUUAGUUGAGAGAAAAAGACAGAACUGUAUUUUCCCCUAAAAACAUUCUUUUGUGUGUCACUUUUAUAAAAGAAUUGCUAAUUUUGCACGUCACGUAAUCUACAUAUCAUAAAUUAGAGACAUAGUUUGGUCAUUUAAUGUUGAUUAAUUUGGGCUAAGUAUUUGAUUUGAUUUGAUUUGAUUUGAUUUAUUUACUUC
Strongylocentrotus purpuratus (purple sea urchin) is the source of this 2528-nucleotide long non-coding RNA. RefSeq lists it as uncharacterized. NCBI's taxonomy places the organism in Eukaryota, Metazoa, Echinodermata, Echinoidea, Camarodonta, Strongylocentrotidae. The record is from RefSeq and is a predicted model, not a curated record. The transcript is spliced from 3 exons.